RNAcentral lists this ribosomal RNA (497 nucleotides) under uncultured bacterium. RNAcentral's name for it is "partial 16S ribosomal RNA". It matches the Rfam family "Bacterial small subunit ribosomal RNA", at positions 29 to 523 of the family's 1533-position model. The record is from RNAcentral.
AGUGAACGCUGGCGGCGUGCCUAAUACAUGCAAGUCGAACGCGAAAGUCCUUCGGGAUGAGUAAAGUGGCGCACGGGUGAGUAAUACAUGGGAACAUGCCCUUGGAUGGGGAAUAACGUUUGGAAACGAACGCUAAUACCGCAUAAUCUCGCGAGAGUAAAGGUGGCGCCGCAAGGGCUACCGUCCAAGGAUUGGCCCAUGUCCCAUUAGCUAGUUGGCGGGGUAAUGGCCCACCAAGGCAACGAUGGGUAACUGGUCUGAGAGGAUGAUCAGUCACGCUCGAACUGAGACACGGUCCAGACUCCUACGGGAGGCAGCAGUAGGGAAUAUUGCACAAUGGGGGAAACCCUGAUGCAGCAACGCCGCGUGAGUGAAGAAGGCCCUUGGGUUGUAAAGCUCUUUAGCGUGGGAAGAAGGUAGAUAUGGUGAAUAAUCAUGUUUGCUGACGGUACCACGAGAAUAAGCACCGGCUAAUUUCGUGCCAGCCGCCGCCGUAA